Molecule: ribosomal RNA, 264 nt
Filed under: uncultured bacterium
Lineage: Bacteria
Description: partial 16S ribosomal RNA
Rfam family: Bacterial small subunit ribosomal RNA
Source: RNAcentral
GUGUUCCUACGGGAGGCAGCAGUGGGGGAUAUUGCACAAUGGGGGGAACCCUGAUGCAGCGACGCCGCGUGGGUGAAGAAGCGCCUCGGCGCGUAAAGCCCUGUCAGCAGGGAAGAAAAUGACGGUACCUGAAGAAGAAGCCCCGGCUAACUACGUGCCAGCAGCCGCGGUAAUACGUAGGGGGCAAGCGUUAUCCGGAUUUACUGGGUGUAAAGGGCGUGUAGGCGGGCAAGCAAGUCAGAUGUGAAAACCCUGGGCUCAACC